UAUAAGUUAUAUAAAUAUUGCAAUUAGAAAUUAACUAUUUAAAACUAAAUUAACUAUAGAAUUUCAUUUAGUAAAUGUAUAGUUAAAACUGAAUCUGCUCUGCCAUACAUGGGAAAAUACAGUAAUGGAUACAAUAUAUUGGAGUCUAUAAUCCUCACAAUUGAUAAAUCAACAUACGAAUCAAGCCCACUACUGAUAUUAUAUAACUUCGGCCAAUCCUUAGAAAAUUCAUCGCCCAUUUAUCUUCAUUUAAACAGACUUAACGGGAUGCCCAUUUGUCUGGGAAUUGAUGAUUCAUCUACUACACAAUGGCAUCUCGAUAAUUGCGCUUGCAGAAUAAUACGUCGCCUGUGGCUUGUGAUAGUUUUCCUCAAUGGGUUAAAAUAGACUUCGAAAUCGUUCGGUUAGAUUCAUUGAAAACUGUUCGUCUCUUUCUCAUGUUCAAAUUUUUAUCAGUCGGGAUAUUAAUAAUUUCCUCUUAACUAGAGAUCUUAAGAUCUAAUAAACGAAUUUAUUGCGGAUUUAUAUCAGUAUUUAAUAGAAUAAUUUUUGUAAAUAUUUUCGUUAAUGAGGAUGAUAAGAUGUUCGAUAAAAUAUUGUUUAAUACGUCUAUCUAUUUAGAAGAAAUAAAUUAAUAAAAAAUGGCGAGUUAUAAAGUAAUGGAAGC
RNAcentral lists this long non-coding RNA (667 nucleotides) under Androctonus crassicauda. The record is from RNAcentral. Lineage: Eukaryota; Metazoa; Arthropoda; Arachnida; Scorpiones; Buthidae.